RNAcentral lists this small nuclear RNA (292 nucleotides) under Otolemur garnettii (small-eared galago). RNAcentral's name for it is "7SK RNA". It matches the Rfam family "7SK RNA". Rfam says of the family: 7SK was discovered as an abundant small nuclear RNA in the mid-70s but a possible function has only recently been suggested. Two independent studies have found that 7SK RNA binds the CDK9/cyclin T complex (known as elongation factor P-TEFb). Lineage: Eukaryota; Metazoa; Chordata; Mammalia; Primates; Galagidae. The record is from Rfam by way of RNAcentral.
GGAUGUGAGGGUGAUCUGGCUGUGACAUCUGUCACCCUGUUGAUUGCCAGGGUUGAUUGGCUGGGUAGGUGGUUGUCUCCUUCCUCCCUCACCACUCCACGUGUUUCCCUCCCAAAGACAAUGCCCUUCCCCAAUAAAGGACCACUGCUCUUCAGUCAAGGGUAUCUGAGUAGGUGGGUUCCCCUGCUAAGACCUUAAAACAAGCUCUCUAAUGCUGCUGUAACUCGCCACCACAAACAGUGGCUUAAACCAGCACAGAUUUACUAUCUUACAGUUCUGAAAGUCAGAAGCU